UGAGUACGAGCUGCUACGGCAGCGAAGUGGGUGAUGUCAUGCUUCCAAGAAAAGCCCUAUACCCGUUAAGGCAUGAUGGCCUGUACCCGAAACCGACACAGGUGGGGUGGUAGAGAAUACCGAGGGGCGCGAGGUAACUCUCUCUAAGGAACUCGGCAAAAUGGCCCCGUAACUUCGGGAGAAGGGGUGCCACCGCAAGGUGGUCGCAGUGAAGAGGCCCAGGCGACUGUUUACCAAAAACACAGGUCUCCGCUAAGUCGCAAGACGAUGUAUGAGGGCUGACGCCUGCCCAGUGCCGGAAGGUUAAGGAAGCUGGUCAGCGUAAGCGAAGCUAGCGACUGAAGCCCCGGUGAACGGCGGCCGUAACUAUAACGGUCCUAAGGUAGCGAAAUUCCUUGUCGGGUAAGUUCCGACCCGCACGAAAGGCGUAACGAUCUGGGCGCUGUCUCGGAGAGAGGCUCGGCGAAAUAGAAUUGUCUGUGAAGAUGCGGACUACGUGCACCCGGACAGAAAGACCCUAUGAAGCUUUACUGUAGCUUGGUAUUGUGCUCGGGCUCGGAAUGCGCAGGAUAGGUGGGAGGCUAUGAACCAUUGCUUGUGGGUGAUGGUGAGCCACUGGUGAGAUACCACUCUUUCCGAGCUAGAGUUCUAACAGCCACCCGUUAUCCGGGGGCUGGACAGUAUCAGGUGGGCAGUUUGACUGGGGCGGUCGCCUCCUAAAAGGUAACGGAGGCGCGCAAAGGUUUGCUCAGGCUGGUUGGAAAUCAGCCGACGAGUGUAAAAGCAGAAGCAAGCUUGACUGUGAGACCUACAAGUCGAACAGGGAGGAAACUCGGCUUUAGUGAUCCGACGGUUCUGCGUGGAAGGGCCGUCGCUCAACGGAUAGAAGUUACUCUAGGAUAACAGGCUGAUCUCCCCCAAGAGUUCACAUCGACGGGGAGGUUUGGCACCUCGAUGUCGGCUCAUCGCAACCUGGGGCUGAAGUCGGUCCCAAGGGUUGGGCUGUUCGCCCAUUAAAGCGGUACGCGAGCUGGGUUCAGAACGUCGUGAGACAGUUCGGUCCAUAUCCGGUGCAUGCGCAGGAAUAUUGAGAGGAUUUCUCCCUAGUACGAGAGGACCGGGAGGAACGCACCUCUGGUGUACCAGUUAUCGUGCCAACGGUAAACGCUGGGUAGCCAUGUGCGGAGAGGAUAACCGCUGAAAGCAUCUAAGUGGGAAGCCCACCUCAAGAUGAGUAUUCCCAUGGGGUAACCCAGUAAGGUCACGGGAAGAACACCCGUUGAUAGGCUCUACGUGGAAGCGCAGUAAUGUGUGAAGCGGAGGAGUACUAAUAGACCGAGGGCUUGACC
Molecule: ribosomal RNA, 1349 nt
Filed under: metagenome
Description: bacterial LSU rRNA
Rfam family: Bacterial large subunit ribosomal RNA
Source: RNAcentral